UAGCCCUGCAACCACUCAUCUCUCCGGC
Molecule: non-coding RNA, 28 nt
Filed under: Homo sapiens (human)
Lineage: Eukaryota; Metazoa; Chordata; Mammalia; Primates; Hominidae
Source: RNAcentral